This 1550-nucleotide ribosomal RNA is filed under the name Klebsiella pneumoniae. Its description in RNAcentral is "bacterial SSU rRNA". It matches the Rfam family "Bacterial small subunit ribosomal RNA". Lineage: Bacteria; Pseudomonadati; Pseudomonadota; Gammaproteobacteria; Enterobacterales; Enterobacteriaceae. The record is from RNAcentral. RNAcentral also lists the same sequence under 1 other name.
AAAUUGAAGAGUUUGAUCAUGGCUCAGAUUGAACGCUGGCGGCAGGCCUAACACAUGCAAGUCGAGCGGUAGCACAGAGAGCUUGCUCUCGGGUGACGAGCGGCGGACGGGUGAGUAAUGUCUGGGAAACUGCCUGAUGGAGGGGGAUAACUACUGGAAACGGUAGCUAAUACCGCAUAACGUCGCAAGACCAAAGUGGGGGACCUUCGGGCCUCAUGCCAUCAGAUGUGCCCAGAUGGGAUUAGCUAGUAGGUGGGGUAACGGCUCACCUAGGCGACGAUCCCUAGCUGGUCUGAGAGGAUGACCAGCCACACUGGAACUGAGACACGGUCCAGACUCCUACGGGAGGCAGCAGUGGGGAAUAUUGCACAAUGGGCGCAAGCCUGAUGCAGCCAUGCCGCGUGUGUGAAGAAGGCCUUCGGGUUGUAAAGCACUUUCAGCGGGGAGGAAGGCGUUAAGGUUAAUAACCUUGGCGAUUGACGUUACCCGCAGAAGAAGCACCGGCUAACUCCGUGCCAGCAGCCGCGGUAAUACGGAGGGUGCAAGCGUUAAUCGGAAUUACUGGGCGUAAAGCGCACGCAGGCGGUCUGUCAAGUCGGAUGUGAAAUCCCCGGGCUCAACCUGGGAACUGCAUUCGAAACUGGCAGGCUAGAGUCUUGUAGAGGGGGGUAGAAUUCCAGGUGUAGCGGUGAAAUGCGUAGAGAUCUGGAGGAAUACCGGUGGCGAAGGCGGCCCCCUGGACAAAGACUGACGCUCAGGUGCGAAAGCGUGGGGAGCAAACAGGAUUAGAUACCCUGGUAGUCCACGCCGUAAACGAUGUCGAUUUGGAGGUUGUGCCCUUGAGGCGUGGCUUCCGGAGCUAACGCGUUAAAUCGACCGCCUGGGGAGUACGGCCGCAAGGUUAAAACUCAAAUGAAUUGACGGGGGCCCGCACAAGCGGUGGAGCAUGUGGUUUAAUUCGAUGCAACGCGAAGAACCUUACCUGGUCUUGACAUCCACAGAACUUAGCAGAGAUGCUUUGGUGCCUUCGGGAACUGUGAGACAGGUGCUGCAUGGCUGUCGUCAGCUCGUGUUGUGAAAUGUUGGGUUAAGUCCCGCAACGAGCGCAACCCUUAUCCUUUGUUGCCAGCGGUCCGGCCGGGAACUCAAAGGAGACUGCCAGUGAUAAACUGGAGGAAGGUGGGGAUGACGUCAAGUCAUCAUGGCCCUUACGACCAGGGCUACACACGUGCUACAAUGGCAUAUACAAAGAGAAGCGACCUCGCGAGAGCAAGCGGACCUCAUAAAGUAUGUCGUAGUCCGGAUUGGAGUCUGCAACUCGACUCCAUGAAGUCGGAAUCGCUAGUAAUCGUAGAUCAGAAUGCUACGGUGAAUACGUUCCCGGGCCUUGUACACACCGCCCGUCACACCAUGGGAGUGGGUUGCAAAAGAAGUAGGUAGCUUAACCUUCGGGAGGGCGCUUACCACUUUGUGAUUCAUGACUGGGGUGAAGUCGUAACAAGGUAACCGUAGGGGAACCUGCGGUUGGAUCACCUCCUUACCUUAAAGAA